CAGCCGCCGCGGUAAUACGUAGGGGGCGAGCGUUGUCCGGAAUUAUUGGGCGUAAAGCGCGCGCAGGCGGUCCUUUAAGUCUGAUGUGAAAGCCCACGGCUCAACCGUGGAGGGUCAUUGGAAACUGGGGGACUUGAGUGCAGGAGAGGAGAGCGGAAUUCCACGUGUAGCGGUGAAAUGCGUAGAGAUGUGGAGGAACACCAGUGGCGAAGGCGGCUCUCUGGCCUGUAACUGACGCUGAGGCGCGAAAGCUUGGGGAGCAAACAGGAUUAGAUACCCUGGUAGUCCACGCCGUAAACGAUGAGUGCUAAGUGUUAGAGGGGUCAAACCCUUUAGUGCUGCAGCUAACGCGAUAAGCACUCCGCCUGGGGAGUACGGCCGCAAGGCUGAAACUUAAAGGAAUUGGCGGG
Molecule: ribosomal RNA, 410 nt
Filed under: uncultured microorganism
Description: bacterial SSU rRNA
Rfam family: Bacterial small subunit ribosomal RNA
Source: RNAcentral